RNAcentral lists this ribosomal RNA (497 nucleotides) under uncultured bacterium. Its description in RNAcentral is "partial 16S ribosomal RNA". It matches the Rfam family "Bacterial small subunit ribosomal RNA", at positions 28 to 507 of the family's 1533-position model. The record is from RNAcentral.
GAUGAACGCUGGCGGCGUGCCUAAUACAUGCAAGUCGAGCGAACGGACGAGAAGAUUGCUUCUCUGAUGUUAGAGGCGGUCGGGUGAGUACCACGUGGAUAACAUAACUAUAAGAAUGGGAUAACUUCGGGAAACCGGCGCUAAUAACCGAUGAUAUUUUGAACAGCAUGGUUCCAAAGUGAAAGAUGGUCUUGCUGUCACUUAUAGAUGGAUCCGCGCUGCAUUAGCUAGUUGGUAAGGUAACAGCUUACCAAGGCAACGAUGCAUAGCCGACCUGAGAGGGUGAUCGGCCACACUGGAACUGAGACUCAGUCCAGACUCCGACGGGAGGCAGCAGUAGGGAAUCCUCCGCGAUGGAGGAGAGCCUGACGGAGCAACGCCGCGUAAGUGAUGAAGGUCUUCGGAUCGGAAAGCUCUGUUAGUAGUGAAGAACAUAUGUGUAAGUAACUGUGCACAUCUUGACGGUACCUAAUGAGAAAGCCACGGCUAACUACGUG